AUUCUUGUGUUUGGAACAAUGACGCAGCUAGUGAAGUACUAACCGAAGCGCGUCUAUUACGGUUGAAAACUAUUUCCAAACCUCAUUUUUCGGCCUGGGCACUGACUAGACUGUAGAGAAUUUAUGGAAUAGCUCCCUA
RNAcentral lists this small nuclear RNA (139 nucleotides) under Cephalotus follicularis. RNAcentral describes it as "U4 spliceosomal RNA". It matches the Rfam family "U4 spliceosomal RNA". From Rfam's summary of the family: U4 small nuclear RNA (U4 snRNA) is a component of the major U2-dependent spliceosome. The structure of U4 snRNA from yeast and human has been reported. U4 snRNA presents a k-turn RNA motif in the 5p-SL related to recognition of Snu13 protein. The record is from Rfam by way of RNAcentral. Lineage: Eukaryota; Viridiplantae; Streptophyta; Magnoliopsida; Oxalidales; Cephalotaceae.